RNAcentral lists this non-coding RNA (84 nucleotides) under unclassified sequences. RNAcentral describes it as "skipping-rope RNA". It matches the Rfam family "skipping-rope RNA". Rfam says of the family: Firmicutes, Fusobacteria, AlphaProteobacteria, Spirochaetes. Downstream gene The record is from Rfam by way of RNAcentral.
GUUAUUUGAGGAUAGAAAGUGGCAGCUAUCACGCCAGAGAUGGUCUUAAAAGCAGAUGUAGGGUACGCCGUCCUACCAAUUAAC